GAUGAAGAACGCAGCGAAAUGCGAUAAAUAAUGUGAAUUGCAGAAUUCAGUGAAUCAUCGAAUCUUUGAACGCACAUUGCGCCCAUUAGUAUUCUAGUGGGCAUGCCUGUUCGAGCGUCAUUAAUUCCACUUAAGCCCUGCUUAGUGUUGGGAAUCUACUCUAGUGGUGCUACCCUGGAGCUACCCCUGAAAGGGGGCUGGCCCGGUAGCUACCCUGUAGUUCCUCAAAGAUAGUGCGCGGAGUUGCGUGGUCCUCUGAGCUUAGUAACUAUACACCUAGCUUUUGAGUGUCCCGCGGCGCCUGCCGUUUAAACCCCAUCUUUUAAUGGUUGACCUCGGAUCAGGUAGGAAUACCCGCUGAACUUAAGCAUAUCAAUAAGCGGAGGA
Molecule: unclassified non-coding RNA, 387 nt
Filed under: soil metagenome
Description: partial contains 5.8S ribosomal RNA, internal transcribed spacer 2, and large subunit ribosomal RNA
Rfam family: 5.8S ribosomal RNA (bases 1-120)
Source: RNAcentral